CCUUCCAAAUUUUAAUUUUUAGAUGAUAUAAAUUACUUCUAAAUCUAGUAGGUGAAGGGAAAAAGGGCCAAAUUUUCUACCAUAAUAAUAAAACUUGUACUAGUCCAAACAUACAUAAACAGGAUAUAAAUUCCAACAUUAAUGUGUAAAAAAGUGUCGACGCAAAAUAAUAAUAGGUGUAUACAAAUAAGAAAUGAAACUUGGGAGAGGAAAGGGCACUAGACUGUUGGCGGGUUUGACUUAAGAUUAUGGUGUUAACUCCUUUCUCGGAUGAAAUAUACUGUUGGUCUUGUUUUGAGACUCCAAGCGGAUACUAGAGUCUAGCCUUAAGACUCCAAGGUUGUUUGCUCUAGAAGUGUUCAUGCAAAAAUAAAAAGGAAAUAAAAAAUUAGUACAAUGGUCCAGCUUAAAUAAUCCCAAAUAAAGUCGCACGACAAAUGUAAUGUUAAAAAGCUAAGACAUGAAUUUCAAACUAGAUAAAUUUAAAUAGAAUAGCUAAAUCACCAUAUGUGUUUUAUUCACAGCUAAUCUCUUAAUACAUAAAGCUUAAAUUUAUACCAAACCCACGAACCAAAAGCACAGAGAAAGAAAUUAACUUAUGCCCAUUUUAAAGGGUCAAUAUGUAUGUCAUGCACAAAAAUGUUCCUGCAAACAAAUCCUAUUUGUAUGUGCACGUAAAGUAAAAAAUAAGGAAGUAAAAAGAAGGCCCAUUCCAUUAGGGAAUACAUAAAAGACUGCCUAACAUUUAGUAUUAAACUAAGCUAAGCAAACAUCUCUUUCAAAAGAGAUGUUGAUAUUCUUAAGAAAAUAAUAUCCGGAAGACUCCUGGCAAUAAAAAUACAUGCAUACAAAGACUUCAAAAGAUAUGUAUGCAUAUGGAAUACGGAUUAAGGCUGCAAGGGUGUAAAUCAUAUUUUAAGUUUUAUUAGAGAAAUAUGACAUUUUUCAAGCAAUCUAUGCCAAAUUUCACCAUUAAAGACACCAAACAAGCUAAUAACCUUAAAAAGAGAUAGAUUCAAUGUGGCUAUUAUCUAAUUCUAAAAGCAAAACAGUGAAAAUAACAUGAUUUUGCAGAGUCCAAACUAAGCGGCAGAAACAUUUAAACAUAGUUUUCACUGUAGCUAACUAAACUAACUUUUAAACAUGAUGUUUGCUAUAGCUAAACAAAAUCUUGCAGUAUACACAAGUUCUCUUUUUUUUUUAGAAAACACACAUCACUUUAUCACAAAACAAAAGAGGACAGAGGAUAUAGAUGUACCAUUUGUGGGGCAGUGAACGGGGAGUUUUCGACCUACGAUCUAUACCCGAACCCAAACGAUGAAGCUUGAACACUCUUUAAACCCGAGAUCGAAAUAAAAUGAAAUGGGGAGACUUUAAAAACGGCAGACUAGUAACUAUCGUGCCAUGGAACGGAUGAAAAAGCCUCGGGUGAUACCAUAAGUGAAAGAGAAUGAAAAGAGCAAUGUAAUGAAUGAACACACAGUAACUUUUGGGUGAUGUUUCAGCAACUGAGAGCAGCGGAAAUGGCUUGCUCACGGCUUAAAGAAUGAAUGGCCGAGAAAAAACUACAAACAAUGCUAGGUCGUCCGUCCUCCUUUUUUUUUUUCUUCCUUUCCUCCCUUUUUCUUUUUUUUCUAAGCUUCCAAGCAUGAGUAUUUAUAGCAGAUUUGUUGGAAUUCAUCCUUUGAGCGGGAAUUGGGUUCCUCAAAUUUUGAACGUUCAACAUUCAAAUAUUGGAAUUUGUCUCCACUCGAUCUUCAUGUGAUGGAAAGGAUUCAUCACAAAAAUGGAGUAGCAAAUCCUGCCCAUGGUGAAAGGGGUCUGUAUUUUUGCUUGAAGAGGAGAAGAAAACGUUGAGGCAUGUUCAAAGAGGUGGUUCAUUGAGAGUAGAGAAACUUAGGCUAGGUUUUAGGUUUUUUUUUUUUUUUUUUUGUGGGG
RNAcentral lists this long non-coding RNA (1938 nucleotides) under Capsicum annuum. RNAcentral's name for it is "long non-coding RNA (CANN_LNC015271)". The record is from RNAcentral. Lineage: Eukaryota; Viridiplantae; Streptophyta; Magnoliopsida; Solanales; Solanaceae.